This 555-nucleotide ribosomal RNA is filed under the name uncultured bacterium. RNAcentral's name for it is "bacterial SSU rRNA". It matches the Rfam family "Bacterial small subunit ribosomal RNA", at positions 428 to 968 of the family's 1533-position model. The record is from RNAcentral.
CCGUUAAGUUGGUAGAGAAGAACGUUAGGUGUAGAGUGGAAAGCUCAUCAAGUGACGGUAACGUACCCAGAAAGGGACGGCGUAACUACGUGCCAGCAGCCGCGGUAAUACGUAGGUCCCGAGCGUUGUCCGGAGUUUAUUGGGCGUAAAGCGAGCGCAGGCGGUUUGAUAAGUCUGAAGUUUAAAGGCUGUGGCUCAACCAUAGUUCGCUUUGGAAACUGUCAAACUUGAGUGCAGAAGGGGAGAGUGGAAUUCCAUGUGUAGCGGUGAAAUGCGUAGAUAUAUGGAGGAACACCGGUGGCGAAAGCGGCUCUCUGAUCUGUAACUGACGCUGAGGCUCGAAAGCGUGGGGAGCGAACAGGAUUAGAUACCCUGGUAGUCCACGCCGUAAACGAUGAGUGCUAGGUGUUGGAUCCUUUCCGGGAUUCAGUGCCGCAGCUAACGCAUUAAGCACUCCGCCUGGGGAGUACGACCGCAAGGUUGAAACUCAAAGGAAUUGACGGGGGCCCGCACAAGCGGUGGAGCAUGUGGUUUAAUUCGAAGCAACGCGAAGAA